Molecule: ribosomal RNA, 253 nt
Filed under: uncultured bacterium
Lineage: Bacteria
Description: partial 16S ribosomal RNA
Rfam family: Bacterial small subunit ribosomal RNA
Source: RNAcentral
UACAGAGACUGCAAGCGUUAUUCGGAUUCACUGGGCGUAAAGGGUGCGCAGGCGGCCGUGUGUGUGAGGCGUGAAAGCCUGGAGCUUAACUCCAGAAUUGCACCUCAAACUACACGGCUAGAGCAUUGGAGAGGGUAGCAGAAUUCACGGUGUAGCAGUGAAAUGCGUAGAUAUCGUGAGGAAUACCAGAGGCGAAGGCGGCUACCUGGACAAUUGCUGACGCUCAGGCACGAAAGCGUGGGGAGCAAACAGG